Molecule: long non-coding RNA, 503 nt
Organism: Columba livia (rock pigeon)
Lineage: Eukaryota; Metazoa; Chordata; Aves; Columbiformes; Columbidae
Exons: 3
Source: RefSeq, a predicted model, not a curated record
CGGACCGGCGGUGCCGGGGGGAGGCCGGGGGCGGGGAGGGGGCACUGGCCCCCCCUCCUUCUCCGCUGCCCGCCCCCGCGGCAGCGCGACUCGGCGGCGGCUGCAGACGGGGACGGCGACGGCGCCGCGCAGCAGAGAAACUCUUGCCAGGAGAAGUCAGCCUCUGAUGGGACGCUGCCCUGGGAAGGGACAACCCAUUGCAGCCAAACCUGAGUUUUCUGUGGCAAAUCCUCUGCCCCCAAACUCCAGUGAGGACCUGUGGGAGAGUUUCCAUCGCCACCAGCCAGCUUUGGUCACUGUGAGAGGGAUUAACAGUGCGUCCAGAGCCUGGCAGUCCCUUGCCUGCAUUGCCCCAUGGAGAGGAAAUGUGGGGACCCCUGCCUCUCUGGCUGGGAGCAUCCCAUGAGGGAUGAUGUGCAGAGUCCAACCUUGUGAGCCGCUCCAGCUUUGGGAGAAACCCUGAUCCUGGGAAUGGAGGAAGGCUUCUGGAAGCAUUUUAAAAG